AUGAGAUCAAAUUUAUUAUUCCCUCAAAAAUGGAAUAUACGCAUAUAAUUGGUGUCCUAGUCGGUGGGCCAUUCCUUUUGUGGUCGAACCACAAUUCUACAUUUUCCACACACAAAUCAUAUCCAAAUCUCUCCCUCUCUCUCCCUCCCUCCCUCCUAGUUCUUGAGAGAGGAUUCACGCAAGCGCAGCUGGUGAUUUGUGAAGCGUGCCACGGGCCAGGUAGGAGGGCAAAUUCAAUGAUGUUCUCAAAUUCAAUGUAUAAGUGUUGCAAAUUUGCAGUGUGGGAAACAUCAACAUAAGAGCAAUAUAUCAUGUGAUGUAGCAGCAAUAUGAGGUUUUAAAGUUUGAAGCUAUCUUACUAAAACAUGAGGUAGAAAAUGCAGUUAUAUUAAAUAAAUAUAGACUAGUUGGAUUGUUGUUGGAUAUAUAUACAUGUGAUGCUGCUGUGUGCUUGAGGGUUGUGGUGCCUUAGUGAGUAUUCUGAUUCCAAAUUUGUUGAUGGUCAGGCAUAAUAUGUAGGUUUAAUAGUUACGAUUAGAAAAAUGCGAUAUGUAAUUAGUCACGCAUGAUGCUUAGGUCUAUUGAAUUUUCUGAAUUUGUUUGCUCAUCCAUGCCAUCUUUCUUCUGCAUCGAAAAUAAAUUUUACUUCCAAGUCUUGUAGAA
Molecule: long non-coding RNA, 663 nt
Organism: Salvia splendens (bonfire salvia)
Lineage: Eukaryota; Viridiplantae; Streptophyta; Magnoliopsida; Lamiales; Lamiaceae
Exons: 2
Source: RefSeq, a predicted model, not a curated record